Molecule: ribosomal RNA, 720 nt
Filed under: Paenarthrobacter sp.
Lineage: Bacteria; Bacillati; Actinomycetota; Actinomycetes; Micrococcales; Micrococcaceae
Description: bacterial SSU rRNA
Rfam family: Bacterial small subunit ribosomal RNA
Source: RNAcentral
ACGAUGAUCCCAGCUUGCUGGGGGAUUAGUGGCGAACGGGUGAGUAACACGUGAGUAACCUGCCCUUGACUCUGGGAUAAGCCUGGGAAACUGGGUCUAAUACCGGAUAUGACCGUCUGACGCAUGUCAGGUGGUGGAAAGCUUUUGUGGUUUUGGAUGGACUCGCGGCCUAUCAGCUUGUUGGUGGGGUAAUGGCCUACCAAGGCGACGACGGGUAGCCGGCCUGAGAGGGUGACCGGCCACACUGGGACUGAGACACGGCCCAGACUCCUACGGGAGGCAGCAGUGGGGAAUAUUGCACAAUGGGCGCAAGCCUGAUGCAGCGACGCCGCGUGAGGGAUGACGGCCUUCGGGUUGUAAACCUCUUUCAGUAGGGAAGAAGCGAAAGUGACGGUACCUGCAGAAGAAGCGCCGGCUAACUACGUGCCAGCAGCCGCGGUAAUACGUAGGGCGCAAGCGUUAUCCGGAAUUAUUGGGCGUAAAGAGCUCGUAGGCGGUUUGUCGCGUCUGCUGUGAAAGACCGGGGCUCAACUCCGGUUCUGCAGUGGGUACGGGCAGACUAGAGUGCAGUAGGGGAGACUGGAAUUCCUGGUGUAGCGGUGAAAUGCGCAGAUAUCAGGAGGAACACCGAUGGCGAAGGCAGGUCUCUGGGCUGUAACUGACGCUGAGGAGCGAAAGCAUGGGGAGCGAACAGGAUUAGAUACCCUGGUAGUCCAUGCC